AACCAUAGAAACCUGCGGAGUACCUGCGGAGGGAUCAUUACCGAGUUUACAACUCCCAAACCCCUGUGAACAUACCACUUGUUGCCUCGGCGGAUCAGCCCGCUCCCGGUAAAACGGGACGGCCCGCCAGAGGACCCCUAAACUCUGUUUCUAUAUGUAACUUCUGAGUAAAACCAUAAAUAAAUCAAAACUUUUAGCAAUGGAUCU
This 207-nucleotide unclassified non-coding RNA is filed under the name soil metagenome. RNAcentral's name for it is "partial contains 5.8S ribosomal RNA, internal transcribed spacer 2, and large subunit ribosomal RNA". The record is from RNAcentral.